This 497-nucleotide ribosomal RNA is filed under the name uncultured bacterium. Its description in RNAcentral is "partial 16S ribosomal RNA". It matches the Rfam family "Bacterial small subunit ribosomal RNA", at positions 28 to 507 of the family's 1533-position model. The record is from RNAcentral.
GACGAACGCUGGCGGCGUGCCUAAUACAUGCAAGUUGAGCGCUGAAGGUUGGUACUUGUACCAACUGGAUGAGCAGCAAACGGGUGAGUAACGCGUGGGGAAUCUGCCUUUGAGCGGGGGACAACAUGUGGAAACGAAUGCUAAUACCGCAUAAAAACUUUAAACACAAGUUUUAAGGUUGAAAGAUGCAAUUGCAUCACUCAAAGAUGAUCCCGCGUUGUAUUAGCUAGGUGGUGAGGUAAAGGCUCACCAAGGCGAUGAUACAUAGCCGAACUGAGAGGGUGAUCGGCCACAUUGGGACUGAGACACGGCACAAACUCAUACGGGAGGCAGCAGUAGGGAAUCUUCGGCAAUGGACGAAAGUCUGACCGAGCAACGCCGAGUGAGUGAAGAAGGUUUUCGGAUCGUAAAACUCUGUUGGUAGAGAAGAAAGUUGGUGAGAGUGGAAAGCUCAUCAAGUGACGGUAACUACUCAGAAAGGGACGGCUAACUACGUG